Molecule: non-coding RNA, 4825 nt
Organism: Cricetulus griseus (Chinese hamster)
Lineage: Eukaryota; Metazoa; Chordata; Mammalia; Rodentia; Cricetidae
Source: RefSeq, a predicted model, not a curated record
UAGAAAAAUGUUCAGAGAUCUACAAGAAUGACCCCAACUAACAUCUAAGCAAUAGUGGAGAGGUCACCUUAAAUACCCUUCCAAGAUGAGAUUGAUGUCUACCUUAUAUGCCAUCUUAAAACCUUCAUACAAUGGUUGAUCAAAGAAGAAGUAGACACCCACAGCAAAACACUGAGCUGAACUCUUAGAAUCUAGUUGCAGAGAGGGAGGAGUAAUGAGCGGUCAGUACUAAGCUGGGGAAAUCCACAGAAACAGCUGAUCUGAACAAGGGGGAGCUCAAGGACCCCAGCCUGAUGGGUAACCAGCAUAAGGCCCAGACCACCUGAUUGUGGGUGUCAGUUAGGAGGCUUGGGCAAUCUAUGGGGCUUCUGGCAGUGGUUCAGUAUUUAUCCCUAGUAUAUGAGUGGACUUUGUGAGCCCAUUUCACAUAAAGGGAUACUAUCUCAUCCUAGACACACAUGGGAGGGUCUAGGCCCUGCUCCAAAUGAUGUGACAGACUUUGAAGAUACCCCAUGGAAGGCCUCACCCUCCCUGGGGAGCAGAAACUGGAUGGGAUAGGGGGUUGUUGGUGGGCAGGGGAGUUAAGGGAGGGAUAGAGAAAUGGGAAUGACAUGUAAAUCAUGCUUGUUUUUAAUUUAAAUUUUAAAAAAAUGAAAAAACAAAGAAGUAGCCUAUUUAAAAACAGCUGGGAAAAAUUUAAGUUUUUCUUUUACAAUAGGUAAAAAUAUCUUACAUUUCUCUUUUCUAGUUUACAUCAAACAGUAUGUUUCAUUUAAUGUGCAAAUCUAUGCACAACUUGUCAUGCUAUUAACAUUAUCAGUAUAGGCAUUGCUAUCAUAAUAUCUUACAUUAAGUAUUAUAGUAUCAAGGUUCUUUCUAUACAUCCUUUCCUAGUAGUGUUUGACAUCAUGCAUACUGCAUAUUUCCUUGAUAUUUUUACAUUAACACAAAACUACGAAACUUGUUUUAGAAAAUGGUGUCAAAUCUUUAGCUAUUUUAACAGCUCAAAAUAGACUAAACAAAAAUCUACUAUUUAUCACAAGAAAAAAAUUAAAGAAAAAACAAAAUAAAAGAUUUUCUCCUACAGUCUAAAUGUGUAAUUUGAUCAAAGAAAAGGACUGGAAUUUUCUGGGGCAAGGAUCUAUAUAAAAUGGGAGUUUCACUGUGAACUUUUUAUUUUAUGAAUCAUUUUUUGGCUGUAUCUUGACUAUAUAAUGUGGUUGAGCUUUUCUGCCUCUGGGCUUUAUUUAUUUAUUUAUCAUCACUCUACUGAAGGGCCAUGGAUUCUCAUCAUGCAUUUUUUAAUACUAUGGCUGAGGCAUUUUCACAUUCAGUACUAUAAUAAACAUUUUAUUAUUGAACUCAGUAUGUUCUUUCCUCUAAAGGUACCUAGAGUUAUGUGUCACUAAGAAUAAGAAUGUAUUCUUUGUGGUUCAGAAAGUUUUAUUUACUACAGUGCAAGAUGCCAGCAUUACAAAAUAAGCUAUCAUAUAAGACAUUGACAGGAAAAGUCAAUAUGCACUCAUCCAGUUUGUGCGCUAUAAUUUUUGUGUUGUUAUUCACGGUUGGGACAGGUGGGGUAUGAUAACUACAAUAUGUUUUCCUUUAAUCGGCACCUCAUUCUACUUAUACUUCAAAGGCAAUUUUAGGGUUGGUAAAUGAAAGAAAUAUAACACAAUGAAAGGCCAACUGUUUUGUUGUCAUUCUUCCAGAGUUUUAUCCCAAUGACAAUGUUGCCAUUGUUUCUUUCUAUAAUUAGUGAAUUCAUUCAUUUCUUUCUUUCUUUCUUUCUUUCUUUCUUUCUUUCUUUCUUUCUUUCUUCCUUUCUAAGGCUAUAGAGGGAUCAUGAUUGUAAUGUUCUCAGUUAUUUCUAACAUUUCUUCAAAAAUAUCUGUUCCAUGAUUUUGAGAUCUUUCAUAUUUUAUGCUUGUUAUAAGUUACAUUAAUACAUAGCCUGGGUUUAAUAUUAUAGUUUGAUGGUAAAGUGCUUUGCUUAGUAUGCCUGGAGUUCAACCUUCAUUGUGUAUGUGUGUAUGUGCACAUGUGUAAGCUUAGUAUAGCAUAUAGAGAUUGUACAUAGUUAAAAGACAAAUUGAAUAUACAUUGUAGCUGAAUAUUUAGGAGAUUGUUCUAUUUCCCAUCUAUCUUCUUUUGUUCUAAAAGUAACAAAAGUCUGGCCCUGGGUCCAUUUAGAUUUUACAUCUUCAAACUAUUUCAGACUUAAACAGCCACAGGUCAUAGAAAAUGUUUCUUUCAACUAUUGUAAUCUCAUUUUAACAUGCAGUGUUAACUAUACAAGUGUUUCUCAACCUUUCUAAUGCUUCAGCCCUUUAAUAUAGUUCUUCAUGUUGUAGUAUUCCCCAAUCAUAAAAUUACUUCGUUGCUACUUCAUAACUGUAAUUUGGCUGCUGUUAUAAAUCAUGAUGUAAAUAUCUGCUAUGCAAAUAUCUGAUAUGUGACCCCUGUGAAAGGGUCUUUCAACCUCCAAAGGGAUUUUACCCACAGUUUGAAAACCACUGAACUCUUCUAACAAAGGUUUUAUUUUCUUUAUAUUUCCAAUAAUGAAUAGAGAACAAUUUAUCCUAAAACAUUCCUUCCUCUUUGAUAGUAUGGUCACUUCACUGACAACUAGAUCCUCUAUGUAUAUUCUGUAUUCACCAAUCUGGUUUAUGUAUUUUCCUUUCCAAGGAUACUGUUUCUCUGAUGCAUAUUCCAGUGCUUCCAUGUUCAGUGCAGAGAUCUUCCCAUCUAGCUAUAUAGUCUCCUAAAUGCUGAAAUCCUCUGACAUCUUAAUCACACAUGAGGCAGGAUGAGAAGACACAACUCAUCUGGAAUGCAUAGAUAGCUUCAGAAGAGUGAGUAGCAUGGUCUUGACCCCUUUGCUCUUCACGCCUCCCUCUCUGCAACUGGAUUCCAGAGUUCAGCUCAGUGUUUAGCUGUGGGUGUCUGCUUUUGCUUCCAUCAGAUACUGGAUGAAGAUUCCAGGAUGGCAUUUUUUAAAUCAAGUAUGAGAAAGAAGCUUUUGCUUCUUACCAGCUUGUCUUCAAGUUGUACUGGCAAAUUCAUUUCCUCUAUUGACAUUUUGCCGCUGCUGUUACUGCUGCCACCACUGCCACUGCUGCUAAUGUACUUGGUUGACAUUCUAUACAGUUUCUGAAGAUUGUCAAAGUAUACUGAAGCCCAAUAGCUUUCUGGAAAUCCUCUAGCCCUUCAGUAUCAGACUGGAACUGCUAAGGAAUCAAGCCCUGUGGAUUAAGCAGUCAUCAGGUUCUUAGCUUCUCCAAUGUGUAAGAAACCAUUGUUGAACCACCUAAAUCACACUAUAUCCACGCCUCCACCUCGUCUCCCCUCAGAAAAUAGCAGGACUUGCCUUGGAUUUUCUUAUUUGAUUAUUUGCUAUGGGAAGAUCCAUUUCUAUGUGGUCCAUGCCUUCUGGUGGCAGUCUACACAAAAGGACACAAAAGAAGAAAGCAUAGAAGAAUAAGAAUAAAAAUAAGAAGAAGAAGAAGAAGAAGAAGAAGAAGAAGAAGAAGAAGAAGAAGAAGAAGAAGAAGAAGAAGGAGAAGAAGAAGGAGAAGAAGAAGAAGCAUUUGCUUUUUACCUUCUUCUCCUCAUGACACUGGUAACUUCAUCUAUCCUUAUGCUGAGGCAUUCCUUAGCUGGUAUUAGAAUCCUCUUCUUUGGGAUUCUAACACUGUCUCUAGGAAUUUUCCAGUACUCCAGCACCAGACUCAGACUGCUGUGGCAUACAGUUGCGUAGACUGAACAGCGACCUGAUUGUUGGUCUUUCUAUUGGGAAACAGCCAUUGUUGAAGCACCCAGACUACAGCUUGGAAGCCAUUCCAAUGAAUCCCCUUCGUGUGUGUGUGUGUGUGUGUGUGUGUGUGUGUGUGUGUGUGUGUUAUUGAUUCUCUCAAUUCUGUUCCUUUAGAGAACUGUGAAUACUCGGAUUGUAUUCAACAUAUACAUAAUACAUUGUCUGACAUGUGAAAGUAACAGGAAAUGUACAAUACUCUCUAUCUCUGAUACUGGCACAUGGAUGUCUGGCAUAUUUUUUGUGUUUAUGUGAUUUUGUGCACAUUCAUGUAGGAGGACAUGCAUAUAUAUAUGGGUAUGAAUACAGAGGCCAGAAGACAACUUUUAUUGUUUCUCAGAUGCCAUCCACAUUUUUUUCUUUUUCUUUUUUCAGACAGGAUCACUCAUUGACCUGGGUGGAGCUCUGCAAUAGGCUGACAGGAUGACUGGCUAGUGAAUCCUAGGGAUGCAUUUGUGGCUAACUCAUUGUUCUAUCAUCAGAAUGUAGACCAGUAUCUGUUACAUAGUAAUUAUGCCCUUCUAUAAGGGCAAUGAAUGGCACAUUUACAAGUAAAAGUUUUCAAAUCAAAUAAAUAGUAUUACUAUGAAUACUCAUGUAAAGGAUAUUAUGAAUGACUACAAGCUUUUCUGUUUUUUUUUAUUAAUAAUAUAUAUUCAAUUUUCCACUAUGUUGGUUGUCUUUUGCUUAGUGAUAGUAACAAGUAUUUCCCCGACAUGCAAUGUUUCAGGAAUUUAUCCUGUAACCUCAUUUGCAAAUUAUUUUCCAAGUAUGUCACUUGUAAUGAGAGAUCUACUACAUACUUGUGGUGCUGACCAUGCCCGUUGGGCAUGGUCACAGGUGCCUACAUGAGCAUGGAGGAUUUAUUCUGAGAUCCAGGACAGGCUCUCUCUUGCGGCUGGUCAGGUCACAGGGAACAGCCUGGGACAAUCCUUGGAGCUGGAACCCAGGGCAAUAACUCACCUCUCUGUGUAAGUGCAAUCCCCUCGAAUAAACUUCACUUAAACUGUA